RNAcentral lists this ribosomal RNA (253 nucleotides) under uncultured bacterium. Its description in RNAcentral is "partial 16S ribosomal RNA". It matches the Rfam family "Bacterial small subunit ribosomal RNA", at positions 524 to 776 of the family's 1533-position model. The record is from RNAcentral.
CACGUAGGGGGCAAGCGUUGUCCGGAUUUACUGGGCGUAAAGGGCGCGUAGGCGGCGUGACAAGUCACUUGUGAAAUCUCCGGGCUUAACCCGGAGCGGUCAAGUGAUACUGUCGUGCUAGAGUGCGGAAGGGGCUACUGGAAUUCUCGGUGUAGCGGUGAAAUGCGUAGAUAUCGAGAGGAACACCUGCGGCGAAGGCGGGUAGCUGGGCCGACACUGACGCUGAUGCGCGAAAGCCAGGGGAGCGAACGGG